This 66-nucleotide transfer RNA is filed under the name Syneta adamsi. RNAcentral's name for it is "tRNA-Gly". The record is from RNAcentral. Lineage: Eukaryota; Metazoa; Arthropoda; Insecta; Coleoptera; Chrysomelidae.
AUUUAUAUAAUAUAAAAAUUAUAGUUGACUUCCAAUCAAACAAUCUAAUAAAAAUUAGUAUAAAUA